AUGGGCGCAAGCCUGAUGCAGCCAUGCCGCGUGUGUGAAGAAGGCCUUCGGGUUGUAAAGCACUUUCAGCAGUGAGGAAGGGUAAUGAGUUAAUACCUCAUUAUCUUGACGUUAGCUGCAGAAGAAGCACCGGCUAACUCCGUGCCAGCAGCCGCGGUAAUACGGAGGGUGCGAGCGUUAAUCGGAAUUACUGGGCGUAAAGCGCAUGCAGGCGGUUUGUUAAGCAAGAUGUGAAAGCCCCGGGCUCAACCUGGGAACCGCAUUUUGAACUGGCAGGCUAGAGUCUUGUAGAGGGGGGUAGAAUUUCAGGUGUAGCGGUGAAAUGCGUAGAGAUCUGAAGGAAUACCGGUGGCGAAGGCGGCCCCCUGGACAAAGACUGACGCUCAGAUGCGAAAGCGUGGGGAGCAAACAGGAUUAGAUACCCUGGUAGUCCACGCUGUAAACGAUGUCUACUUGGAGGUUGCGGUCUUGAACUGUGGCUUUCGGAGCUAACGCGUUAAGUAGACCGCCUGGGGAGUACGGUCGCAAGAUUAAAACUCAAAUGAAUUGACGGGGGCCCGCACAAGCGGUGGAGCAUGUGGUUUAAUUCGAUGCAACGCGAAGAACCUUACCUACUCUUGACAUCCAGAGAAUUCGCUAGAGAUAGCUUAGUGCCUUCGGGAGCUCUGAGACAGGUGCUGCAUGGCUGUCGUCAGCUCGUGUUGUGAAAUGUUGGGUUAAGUCCCGCAACGAGCGCA
RNAcentral lists this ribosomal RNA (737 nucleotides) under Enterovibrio sp. MED126. RNAcentral's name for it is "bacterial SSU rRNA". It matches the Rfam family "Bacterial small subunit ribosomal RNA", at positions 371 to 1100 of the family's 1533-position model. The record is from RNAcentral. Lineage: Bacteria; Pseudomonadati; Pseudomonadota; Gammaproteobacteria; Vibrionales; Vibrionaceae.